AUUGAACGCUGGCGGCAUGCUUUACACAUGCAAGUCGAACGGUAACAGGCCUUCGGGUGCUGACGAGUGGCGAACGGGUGCGUAAUGCAUCGGAACGUACCCAGAGGUGGGGGAUAACGCAGCGAAAGCUGUGCUAAUACCGCAUGUGAUCUGAGGAUGAAAGCGGGGGACCGAGCAGCAAUGUUUGGCCUCGCGCCUUUGGAGCGGCCGAUGUCGGAUUAGCUAGUUGGUGGGGUAAAGGCCUACCAAGGCGACGAUCCGUAGCUGGUCUGAGAGGACGACCAGCCACACUGGGACUGAGACACGGCCCAGACUCCUACGGGAGGCAGCAGUGGGGAAUUUUGGGCAAUGGGCGCAAGCCUGAUCCAGCAAUGCCGCGUGCGGGAAGAAGGCCUUCGGGUUGUAAACCGCUUUUGGCAGGAACGAAACGGUGUCCGCUAAUACCGGGCGCUAAUGACGGUACCUGCAGAAUAAGCACCGGCUAACUACGUG
RNAcentral lists this ribosomal RNA (492 nucleotides) under uncultured bacterium. RNAcentral's name for it is "partial 16S ribosomal RNA". It matches the Rfam family "Bacterial small subunit ribosomal RNA", at positions 29 to 507 of the family's 1533-position model. The record is from RNAcentral.